GAUGAACGCUGGCGGCGGGCUUAACACAUGCAAGUCGAACGGCAAGGCCCUGCUUUCGUGGGGUGCUCGAGUGCCGAACGGGUGAGUAACACGAGAGCAUCCUGCCCUUGACUUUCGGAUAACUUUAGGAAACUGGGGCUAAUACCGGAUAGGAGCUCCUGCCGCAUGGUGGGGGUGGGAAAGUCUCGGCGGUUGGGGAUGGACUCGCGGCUUAUCAGCUAGUUGGUGGGGUAGUGGCUGACCAAGGCCUGGACGGGUAGCCGGCCUGAGAGGGGGACCGGGCACAUGGGGACUGAGGUACGGGCCAGAGUCCUACGGGAGACAGCAGUGGGGAAUAUUGCCCAAUCGGCCGAAGCCUGAUGCAGCAGCGCCGCGUUCGGGAUGACGGCCUUCGGGUAGUAAACCGCAUUCGCCUGUGACGAAGCGUGAGUGACGGUAAUGGAUGAAGAAGCACCGGCUAACUACGUG
Molecule: ribosomal RNA, 468 nt
Filed under: uncultured bacterium
Lineage: Bacteria
Description: partial 16S ribosomal RNA
Rfam family: Bacterial small subunit ribosomal RNA
Source: RNAcentral